AGUGAAUGCUGGCGGUAGGCCUAACACAUGCAAGUCGAACGGCAGCACAGUAAGAGCUUGCUCUUACGGGUGGCGAGUGGCGGACGGGUGAGGAAUACAUCGGAAUCUACUUUUUCGUGGGGGAUAACGUAGGGAAACUUACGCUAAUACCGCAUACGACCUACGGGUGAAAGCAGGGGAUCUUCGGACCUUGCGCGAUUGAAUGAGCCGAUGUCGGAUUAGCUAGUUGGCGGGGUAAAGGCCCACCAAGGCGACGAUCCGUAGCUGGUCUGAGAGGAUGAUCAGCCACACUGGAACUGAGACACGGUCCAGACUCCUACGGGAGGCAGCAGUGGGGAAGAUUGGACAAUGGGCGCAAGCCUGAUCCAGCCAUACCGCGUGGGUGAAGAAGGCCUUCGGGUUGUAAAGCCCUUUUGUUGGGAAAGAAAAGCAGCAGGUUAAUACCCCGCUGUUCUGACGGUACCCAAAGAAUAAGCACCGGCUAACUUCGUG
RNAcentral lists this ribosomal RNA (492 nucleotides) under uncultured bacterium. RNAcentral's name for it is "partial 16S ribosomal RNA". It matches the Rfam family "Bacterial small subunit ribosomal RNA", at positions 29 to 507 of the family's 1533-position model. The record is from RNAcentral.